UUAUUUGAUUUUCUUCGGAACUGAAGAUUUGGUGAUUGAGUGGCGGACGGGUGAGUAACGCGUGGGUAACCUACCCUGUACAGGGGGAUAACAGUCAGAAAUGACUGCUAAUACCGCAUAAGACCACAGCACCGCAUGGUGCAGGGGUAAAAACUCCGGUGGUACAGGAUGGACCCGCGUCUGAUUAGCUGGUUGGUGAGGUAACGGCUCACCAAGGCGACGAUCAGUAGCCGGCUUGAGAGAGUGAACGGCCACAUUGGGACUGAGACACGGCCCAAACUCCUACGGGAGGCAGCAGUGGGGAAUAUUGCACAAUGGGGGAAACCCUGAUGCAGCGACGCCGCGUGAGUGAAGAAGUAUCUCGGUAUGUAAAGCUCUAUCAGCAGGGAAGAAAAUGACGGUACCUGACUAAGAAGCCCCGGCUAACUACGUGCCAGCAGCCGCGGUACUACGUAGGGGGCAAGCGUUAUCCGGAAUUACUGGGUGUAAAGGGUGCGUAGGUGGUAUGGCAAGUCAGAAGUGAAAACCCAGGGCUUAACUCUGGGACUGCUUUUGAAACUGUCAGACUGGAGUGCAGGAGAGGUAAGCGGAAUUCCUAGUGUAGCGGUGAAAUGCGUAGAUAUUAGGAGGAACAUCAGUGGCGAAGGCGGCUUAUGGACUGAAACUGA
This 668-nucleotide ribosomal RNA is filed under the name uncultured Lachnospiraceae bacterium. Its description in RNAcentral is "bacterial SSU rRNA". It matches the Rfam family "Bacterial small subunit ribosomal RNA", at positions 62 to 743 of the family's 1533-position model. The record is from RNAcentral. Lineage: Bacteria; Bacillati; Bacillota; Clostridia; Lachnospirales; Lachnospiraceae.